AUUGAACGCUGGCGGCAGGCCUAACACAUGCAAGUCGAGCGGAUGAAGGGAGCUUGCUCCUGGAUUCAGCGGCGGACGGGUGAGUAAUGCCUAGGAAUCUGCCUGGUAGUGGGGGAUAACGUCCGGAAACGGGCGCUAAUACCGCAUACGUCCUGAGGGAGAAAGUGGGGGAUCUUCGGACCUCACGCUAUCAGAUGAGCCUAGGUCGGAUUAGCUAGUUGGUGGGGUAAAGGCCUACCAAGGCGACGAUCCGUAACUGGUCUGAGAGGAUGAUCAGUCACACUGGAACUGAGACACGGUCCAGACUCCUACGGGAGGCAGCAGUGGGGAAUAUUGGACAAUGGGCGAAAGCCUGAUCCAGCCAUGCCGCGUGUGUGAAGAAGGUCUUCGGAUUGUAAAGCACUUUAAGUCGGGAGGAGGGGCAGUAAGUUAAUACCUUGCUGUUUUGACGUUACCAACAGAAUAAGCACCGGCUAACUUCGUG
RNAcentral lists this ribosomal RNA (484 nucleotides) under uncultured bacterium. Its description in RNAcentral is "partial 16S ribosomal RNA". It matches the Rfam family "Bacterial small subunit ribosomal RNA", at positions 30 to 507 of the family's 1533-position model. The record is from RNAcentral.